UACGGAGGGUGCAAGCGUUAUCCGGAUUUACUGGGUUUAAAGGGUGCGUAGGUGGGUAGGUAAGUCAGUGGUGAAAUCUUCGAGCUUAACUCGGAAACUGCCAUUGAUACUAUUUAUCUUGAAUACUUUGGAGGUAAGCGGAAUAUGUCAUGUAGCGGUGAAAUGCUUAGAUAUGACAUAGAACACCAGUGGCGAAGGCGAGUCCCUGGACAACACCUGACACUGAGGCACGAAAGCUAGGGGAGCAAACAGG
This 253-nucleotide ribosomal RNA is filed under the name uncultured bacterium. Its description in RNAcentral is "partial 16S ribosomal RNA". It matches the Rfam family "Bacterial small subunit ribosomal RNA", at positions 524 to 776 of the family's 1533-position model. The record is from RNAcentral.